UUUUACCAACAAAUUUAGAAUUAUUUCAAGUUGCUUUAUGUUAAAAUAUAUAACAAGUUACAUUUUCUUGCUGCAUUAAUAAGUUUUUGAUUUUUAAAAUCUGAUAUUUCAGCAACUAAAGGAAUACUUUUCUUUAUAGGUCUGUUCUGUUUUUAACCUCAUUGACUGUAUAUGUUUUAUUUACCCGUGCCAGGAGUCUAGAAUCGUGCUUAGGUGCCAUUCUUAGGUAUGAAAACAAGUUUGGAGACCAAUGCAGGUCUCUGUGCAGAAAUCUGGGGCUCUAAAUGAAUUACCAAACCAAUAGGAAAGUUAAAAUACUACUCAUGAUGUAGUGUGUCAUCUGAAGCUAUGAUAGAAUAUAUUAUUUCUAAAAUAGUAUUGAGAAGUUAAUUGUUCAGUCCAUAGUAGUGUAAGUGAAGUGUGGAGGUCAGCCAUAGUUGUCUUUCUUCAGCAGGUACUCUAACCAGAGACUGGGUUCUGUGGAAAAUAGAAUUAUAUUCUUGGUUUGGGAUCAACAAAUGUUUUGUUAUUGUUUUAAUGUUGCUGGCAUUGCCUGAAACAAAGUGCCCUGUUAUUCCUCUUAUGUCAUCAGAACUCUGCUUACUGAAGUUGAAGUUUAAUCUUAGGAUCUAGAAUUCUUGUGGUUGGUCGUGUAUUAAGAAAAGAAGGUGGUUUGAUUUUAUUUCUUGUACUUGGUGGAACCUGUUACUAUACAAGUCAUGUUUUGACCUGUAAGCCGAGCAAAUCUGAAAGGUGAAUCGUUAAUGGUAGUAUAAUUGUUUCAUUUGAAACUGUCAGUUUCUUCAAGUCACUUCUCUGAAAAAAAUUAUGAUAGAUUGAUAGCCUGCCAGAAAAUAGCAAUUUCUAAGGUGCUGCCAUCCACACUUACUUAUUGUGAAAUAUGAAAAUCCAGAGUGGUUUGUAUGAGAGGGGAAAUACUGGCUCUAAGCUUUCUACAGAAAACAGGAAAUUCAUGCUGUUGUUGACAUAAUUUUAAAGGAAACUUUUAACAAGAAAAUUCAUGAGGGAUACAAUCAAACAUAGUUAAUCUCUUGAGUGCUAAUCAUUUGAGUAUAGUCCACAUCAGGAAGUUUUAUGAGGUUGAAAACUUUACUUUGAAAUAUUUAAUUGGGAGACUAGACCAUUUCUUUUUCCAAGUCAUUCUGAUUUAUUGUCCUAGUAAAUGUAUGUGUAUGCAUAUAUACUGAUGUAUUGACUGAAUGUGUGUGUGUGUGUGUGUGCGCGUGUAAAUCUGUUUUCAUAGGGAACAUACAUUGAUGGCUCCUAGUCUAUUUUAUACUAAAACUUAAAAAAAUUUGCUGCACUUUGCAGUUGCCACUUUUUAAAAGAUUAAUGCUUUGCACAUUUCAGUAGGCCUUAAAGAUGAAUUGCUCACCAACAUUUUAGAAAUACACUGCUUACAUGUGACAUACUCUAAACAAAGUCAUAGUAAACUGUUCUCUUAGGUUCAUGUAUUAUUGAGCAAAUAAGGAUGUCCUUUCUUAAAAUUUCUACAUUUAUGUUUGCUUUUGUGUAAAAUCUUUAUUAGUUUGUAAGUUUCUCAAAGAGGAGGUUUAUACUGGAAGCAGUAUUUCUAAAGUACAGAGAUUCGACCAUGGAUUGAAUACAGUAGUGGAGGAAUGCUGGUAUUGUGGCCUAAUUUAUCCUUUUAAACUGUAUGUCAUUAGUAUUAGCCAAAACCUCAGAGUGGAGUGUCUUGGGCUGAAUGAUCUUCUCAACUUUGCCUUGUUUCCCAUCUCAUAAAGGCUCCUUCUGGUUCUUUUCCCUUCCAAGGAUUGUGAGUCAUGCUCACAUAGGCCUGGGAUCUUCUGGAUGGGGUCGGGGAGGAGGUGGGGGUUUCCUGUGGCUGGCCCAGAGUUCUAGCCAAUGGAAUCAUUCAAGAAUGCCUAAAGUUCAGGGGUGGGAAUGCCAUAUAUUGGUGUUAAUCACUUGGCACUUUCUUGGGCACCAAUAUUAGCACUGUUUCAUUUUUAAUAACUGGAAGCACUUAAUGAUUAUUUUGUUUGUUUAAUUUCAACUUAAGGAUAUUGAGGGUCAGAGAAGUAAGGUUUAUUUCUUGUUUAUGUUUUCUGGAAUUUAUAGGGUGUUUGUAGAAGGGAUAAAUGGGUUACCUAAUGAGCCAUUCUUCUAGGCUCUGUAAGGUAUGCCCUUUUGGCUAGGAUAUUUUAAAAUAAUUUGCAAGCUUUUAAUAUUGUGCUUUGUAGAAAUUUACGAUUUUUAAAAAUAAUUUGCAAUUGAUAGAUUACACUUAAAUUUAUAAAGUAUCCAAUUUUAAGUUUC
This 2301-nucleotide long non-coding RNA is filed under the name Homo sapiens (human). Its description in RNAcentral is "non-protein coding lnc-SLC45A3-3:1". The record is from RNAcentral. Lineage: Eukaryota; Metazoa; Chordata; Mammalia; Primates; Hominidae.